Callithrix jacchus (white-tufted-ear marmoset) is the source of this 2364-nucleotide non-coding RNA. The record is from RefSeq and is a predicted model, not a curated record. Lineage: Eukaryota; Metazoa; Chordata; Mammalia; Primates; Cebidae.
CUGUGGCCAUGCUGAAGCUCACUGGCCAGAGCCACCUGGAGCCCAGGUAAGCGGGUUCACUGAUACUCAUUACAGCAGUCUGGAUUCUACACACUGUGGGCAGAUUCCACACACCACGGGGAAAUGGAAGGCGCAGCACAUCACUGAUGAGAAAAUAUGGGCGGGAUUGGUGGUAGGUGAUUUUGGAGAUGUUCACGAAAGCCAUGGUUUGCUCUGGAAGAAUGUCGUGAAGCAGGAGACAAUUUUGUGUGUGUGUUUUUGUUUUUGAGGCAGGGACUCACUUUGUCACCCAGGCUGGAGUACAGUGGCACCAUCUUAGGUCACUGCAACCUCCGCCUCCCAUGCUCAAGCGAUCCUCCCUCCUCAACCUUCCCAGUAACUGGGAUUACAGGUGUGCACCAUCAAAUUUUCAAUUUCACCAGCUAAUUUUUCAAUUUUUGGUAGAGACAGGUUCUCACUAUGCUGGUCUCGAACUCCUGGGCUCAAGCGAUCUUCCUGCCUCUGCCUCCCAAAGUGCUGGGAUUACAUGCGUGAUGCCCCGUCCUAUUCCAAUGCCUUUUAUUAGGCAGUGGGAGAACAGAGAGGGCUUACAUUGUAACUGGUAAAGGAGCAGUUACUCUGUUUGGCCAGGAGAGGGGGAUGUGUGGUCAUCUUGUGAUUUGCACGCUGCUCUUGUUUUUUUCUGUGCUCUGGCAUGAUUAUGACGUGGUCUUGUUUUUACCCCACUCAGUCACAGUGACAGAAUAGCCUUGUUUGGUAUUUAGUGCUCUGUGAAGCUUCUUCUUUUCAGUAGGAAACACGGCCUAGCUGGGAGUGCCUGGCUGCUCUCAGCUGAUGCCUGUCAGGCCUGCUUUUUUUCUUUCUCUGAGCCCUCAUUCUCUUUCAGGUUUUUUGUUUGUUUGUUUUUGAGAUGGAGUCUCGUUCUGUCACCCAGGCUGGAGUGCAGUGGCUCGAUUUCUGCUCACUGCAACCUCUGCUUCUGGGGAUCAAGUGAUUCUCCUGCCUCAGCCUCCCCAGUAGCUUGGGAUUACAGGUGUGCGCCAGCACACCUGGCUAAUUUUUGUAUUUUUAGUAGAGACAGGGUUUCACCAAGUUGACCAGGCUGGUCUCAAACUCCUGAACUCAGGUGAUUCUCCUGCUUCUGCCUCCUAAAGUGCUGGGAUUACAGCUGUCUCUACAAAAAAUACAAAAAUUAGCUGGAUGUGGUGGUGUGCACCUGUAAUUGCAGCUACUCGGGAGGCUGAGGCAGGAGGAUCACUUGAGCCUGGGAGGUGAAGGUGGCAGUGAGCCGAGAUGGCACCACUGUACUCCAGCCUAGGCGACCGAGUGAGUCUCAAGCAAGCAAGCAAAUAAAUAAAUAAAUAAAACAGAUUUUUUUUUUUGGAGACAGAGUAUCAAUCUGUUGCCCAGGCUGGUGUGUAGUGGCACAAUCUCGGCUCACUGCAACCUCCAUCUCCUGAAUUCAAGUGAUUCUCCUACCUUAGCCUCCCAGUAGCUGGGAUUACAGGCACACACCACCAUGCCUGGCUAAUUUUUGUAUUUUUCGCAGAGAUGAGGUUUUACCAUGUUGGCCAGGUCUCAGAUUCCUGGGCUCAAGUGGUUCACCUGCCUCGGCCUUCCUAAGUGGUGGGAUUACAGGCAUGAGCCACUGUGUCUGGCCCUUACAACACAACAUUUUAAACACAAUAAUACACACUGUGACAUACCUUCCAAUAGCUGUCAGACGGAUGAUGUCAUCAUGUCUUUAACAUCUGGAAAAGAGCAAUGUACAUGUGAGAGUAUGGUCUCACUCUGUCACCCAGGCUUGAGUGUGGAGGCGUGAUCAUGGCUCACUGCAUCCUCAACUUCCAAGGCUCAGGGUCUGCUGGCACCGCCUGACUCGGUAUCUUAUGAGCAAAUGCAUUCCUGGAUGUGCCUGGUGUCAACCUGCCCCAGCCACACACUACAGUUACAUACUUAAUGGGGGAAAACAACUGUAAGUGAAGAAGCUAAGAUGGAGUUUGUCCGGCUUCUUCAAUUAAGAAUGACUUGGUUAGGCCAACACAAGGUAAGUUUACACAGCUCACCUGGGCAGGGUGUUGACAGGCUGUUAUGGGGAUGUUGGGGCAUCUAGAAAAUAUGGAGCUGAAAAUUUUACAAUAUACAUUUGAAUCUUUGAGGGGCAUGUCUUUUUAGAACCUUUUGGAAUACCAGGAAAUAUUUUAAGAGUCUUUUCCUCUUCUGGCUGGGGGCAGUGGCUCAUGCCUGUAGUCAAAGCACUUUGGGAGGCCAAGGUGGGUGGAUCACUUGAGGUCAGGAGUUCAGGACCAGCCUGGCCAACAUGAUGAAACUCCAACUCUAUUAAAUAUACAAAAAAUUACCCAG